Molecule: unclassified non-coding RNA, 541 nt
Filed under: Hevea brasiliensis (rubber tree)
Lineage: Eukaryota; Viridiplantae; Streptophyta; Magnoliopsida; Malpighiales; Euphorbiaceae
Source: RNAcentral
CUGUAAUGAACUUUAUGAGAAUGAAGUUUUCUCAAAUUGAUUCACCUAAAAAACAAUGUAAAAAGCUGCAGAACUCUUUAUCUUCUAAGGAAUUUAAGUUAAACUAACUUGAUUCCAGUCCUACUAUACAUCAAGUGAACGAUGAAGAAAAGCACACAUGAAACAUCCCAAAAUGUUACCUCCAGAUUACAGUGCAAAAGGUAUGAAAUAAAAAUAAACACAAUAAUUGAUAGAUUGGUUAAAGUUUCUUUAGGAAAAUACUGGUAAGGUGGAUAGUUGCCUUAAGGACAAAGGAAAAAAGAAACAAAAAGUAUACACUCAUUUAUAUAUUAAAACUUCAUUAAACACAGGGAAUCAAGCACUAUAAUUUGCAGAAAAGAUGGCUAUUAUAAACACAGGAAAUCUGCGAACUCACCCACUGCUAUCCUUAUCAAAGUACUGAAAUGCUUUGUAUAGAUGCUCAUCUCUUUCCAGUCGAUAUCUAUGCAUUGUAGCAGAGAUAAACUCAAUGUAGUCGAUUGUUCCAUUUCCAUCCACAUCG